UCUGGUAACUGAGGGAGAGGGGUGGCGAUGGAUAAAGGCCUGGCCAUUUCUGCCAGACGUGGGACAGUAAUGGGCAAACUCAUUCUAGAAUUUCCUGCCAGAGUGGCCAAGGCUUUGGGGGGCUUGCCUCGUGGAUUGACUUCUUCCUCUCCCCAAUCUUCUUCUUCCCUUUUCCCUUCACAGGUGGUGAGCCCUGAUACCCCAAACUCUGGGUCCAGGUCUGCUUCUGGAGAAUCCAGUCUGCAACACAUAGUGUCUGGUAGACAGAGGAUGGGAACCACACUUUCCCCAAAGAGGCACUGCAGCUUGAAUAAAAAUGAGAUGGUGGCGAUUGUCUUGAUGACAUUUCCAGCACAUGAACCAGAAUAUCGUCACCUCUUCGGGGGGCAGGGGACGGGGCUGGCUGCUCAGCCUUGGACUCUCAGCCCUUCAGGCAGUGAUAAGUCAUCCCUCUGACAAUAGGUGUCUGAUUGGAGAGCCUACCCAGCUCCCGGGUGCUUGCCCCCCUUCCUUCCACCUCCCCAAAUGGGUAGUGUGUCCCCUCUUCCCACACCUGCUCUCUGCACACUGACACACUGUUCCCUGGCAGGCAGUGAUUGCGGACUCUCCAGCCACGUUUCCAGGCUCGUCACAAGGCAGCCAGGUGUUCAGGAGUAAGGAGAGGCAGACCACAUGCAGGGAGACUAAGACAGUCAGAAUCUCAGGAGUCCUCGUCUGUCUGCUUCACUUUGCAGAUGAGAAAUGAGAGGCUUGCGGGCCCAGAGCCAUACAACUCAUUAGUGGCUGAGGCAAGAACGGGAGCUAGGUUUCCUGCGCUCAGGACCAGUCACUCUCUGAUUCGUAUUUUCUUUCCCUACUUGUUCCUAGCAGAAUGAUGGAUAGACAUUUUAACACUUAGACUGCUUUACAAGACUUUGAACACCCAAGAAAAUACUCAAGGGAAAUGAAAGCUUGGGAUGUCAUCUCUUCAGUGAAGCCCUCCACCUUCAGCACAGCAAGGGACCAGGCUAAAACAUUUCAACGAGGACUCCUCAGCAGCUCCGACCAGUGAGAAAUAAAAAGUAACAUGAGACCAGGAAAGAAGAGAUGCACAAAGUUCAGGUCAUUCGGUUUGACCCCUAUGACAUGCCUUCCUCAGAGCACUUGGCCUGUUUCACGGGGUUCAGUGUCCAAGCUGUUUCUGCUCUGGGCUCGUUGACUCCCCUAGAGCUGCGAACCCAGUGCUACGGCAGACCUUCCAGCCUGUUCCGAGCUCUGCACCCAGCCUCCCCGCCCGCCAUUGCAAACACCGGGCACGUAGCAGGCGCUGAGUGAACACCGAGCCAGCACUGAGCCGGACUAAACUAUGGUACGGUCACAUAGGCAGAGGGAUUGAGAGAGAACAGGCCAUGGGAAAUAAUCAACAAGAUGACGGCACCCUCCUCGAACCCAGGCCCUUCAAAGAACGCCUCCUCGCCCGGAACAGGAAGGGCGUCGGUGUGAGAGCGAGCGGUCGGCAGCGCCCAGCUCGGCACUCACACUCUGCAACUCCUUCGUCCUCCCGUGGCCAUCAGCCAAAGACCUGGAGCAUGUCUGUGCCGCCGGCGCGAGUGGGUUGGCAUGAGGGCGCAAGAAACUCUGUAUAACCUAAGAAGAGACAAGGACAGGCACUCGGAUUUUUUCUUUUAAUUAUUUACCAGAUAAAAAAGAAAAAAUAGUGAUUGUUUCUCUUCACCCCCAACAUU
This is a long non-coding RNA of Leptonychotes weddellii (Weddell seal), 1724 nucleotides long. RefSeq lists it as uncharacterized. NCBI's taxonomy places the organism in Eukaryota, Metazoa, Chordata, Mammalia, Carnivora, Phocidae. The record is from RefSeq and is a predicted model, not a curated record.